UUGACAUUUUGUUACACUUGCACUCACAGAAAACUUUUACUUAGAGCUUGCACUUCCUAAAACAUUGAUUUCGAUUAGUCAAACAAGUGAAGUUUCAUAUUUUACUUUAAGACUACCGUAAAAAAGGUUGUUAUUUAUAUAUGACUUAAAAUGGGCGAUAAAUCAACUCCGCUGUUAGCGGUCCUUCAACUUUUGCGAAAGUAUGAUUUAAAGGGCACUGAAGAAAUUUUAAGGAAAGAAGCAAAUCUAGGUGACGCUGAAUAUGAAAACUUGGAUUUACCUGAAGUUGAACUUGCCAGUAUACUUACAGCACAUCAUACCGAAAGUGAUCCAUAUAGCUACGAGUUUGCUUAUGACAGCCUAAAAAAGUUUGUGGAAAAUUCUUUAGAUAUUUAUAAGUAUGAGCUGUCAACUUUCCUGUAUCCAGUAUUUGUUCAUAUGUAUUUAAUCCUUAUUUUAUAUGAUCACAAUGAGCAUGCUAAAAAAUUUAUGGAAAAAUUUGGUCCAGAACAAGAAGAUUAUUAUCAAGAGGAUCUUAAGCGGUUGGCAGUGGUAGAAAACAAAGAUCAAAUAAAGGGUAAUGAACUUGCAGAGGUAUACAAAACAAACAAAUUUCAAAUUCAACUGUCAAGAGAUGCUUCUACACAAUUAAAAAGAUACCUACAUGAGCAAAAAAGUUCACCAAUUAUAAUAAAUAUUAUUAAUAAUCACAUCCAGAUUGACAUUCAUGAUGGCCCAGGCAGAACACAAGCCCAAGUAAAAGCAACUGUCGGUGGACUACUAGGUGAAGCUUCAAGGAAUGAUAACCGCACCAAAGUUUACUAUGGACUUCUAAAGGAGCCUGAUAUUCAAGUUCUUCCUACUCCAAUUGAAGAUGAAGAUGAAGCGGAUGAAACUCCAGAUAAACCAAAAAAGAAGAAAGCUAAAAAAGAUAAUAUAUUUAUGAAAAAACCAAAAUCUGAUCCAAAUGCUCCUCCUAAUGACAGAAUCCCAUUACCCGAAUUAAAAGAAACUGAUAAAAUUGAGAAAGGUAAAGCUCUCAGAGAAGCUACUAAACGUGUCCAGCUUGGUCCUGACAGUCUACCUUCUAUUUGUUUCUACACACUAUUGAACAGCGGCCAAACUGCUGUUUGUGCUGACAUUUGUGAUGAUUCCACUUUACUUGCUGUAGGCUUUAACAAUUCUUCUAUUAAGGUAUGGACAUUAACAACUAUUCGCUUAAGAGGAAUGAAAUCAGCAGAAAAAUUGCAAGAUAUUGACAGAGAAGCAGGUGAUGUUUUGGUAAGAAUGAUGGAAGAAAAAGACAGAGACACAUGUCGUACCCUAUUUGGACACUCAGGUCCUGUGUAUAAAGUUGCGUUUGACCCAUUUAAAACAAUGCUGCUGUCUUGUUCAGAAGAUUCAACAAUUAGACUAUGGUCGCUACAGUGCUGGACCUGUUUGGUGGUGUACCGCGGUCACGUUUGGCCAGUAUGGGACGUUCGUUGGUCACCGUACGGCUACUACUUUGCGUCGGGUGGCCACGACCAUACGGCUCGCCUCUGGGCCACCGAUCACCACCAGCCUCUUAGGAUCUUUGCGGGACACCAUUCUGAUGUCGAUUGCAUACAAUUUCAUCCAAAUUCAAAUUACAUUGCUACUGGCUCCAGCGACCGUACUGUGAGACUAUGGGACUGCUUAACUGGAACCCAAGUUCGGAUAAUGACUGGCCAUAAACUUUUUCUGCGUGUGGGAGAUGGUUAGCAUCAGGAGCUGGAAAUGGAGAAAUAGUGGUGUGGGAUUUGUCGACAGGCCUGCCUACAGCCACAUUACCGCCUAUGCAUUCGGCACCUGUUCAUGCAUUAGCCUUUAGUCGCGACGGAACUAUCUUAUCUUCUGGUGCUUUGGAUUCUACUAUCAAGCUUUGGGACUUUAGCUUAAUAUCUGACGAAAGUUCUAGCGAAGAAAGUGGGAUUACUAAUGUAAUGCAAAAGGAAGAAAAAUUUUUAUUACAUUCUUUUGCAACAAAAAAUUCACCUAUUAAAAAUUUACAUUUUACUAGAAGGAACCUUCUGUUAGCUGUCGGAUCAUACGAAGGAAGUUCAUAGAAUGUAGUUUAUUAAACCAAUUUAUUAAAUAAACAUUUCAAUUACA
Nymphalis io (European peacock) is the source of this 2133-nucleotide RNA transcript. It is a transcript of the gene named transcription initiation factor TFIID subunit 5, with no coding region annotated. The transcript has 12 exons. The record is from RefSeq and is a predicted model, not a curated record. NCBI's taxonomy places the organism in Eukaryota, Metazoa, Arthropoda, Insecta, Lepidoptera, Nymphalidae.